This 440-nucleotide ribosomal RNA is filed under the name uncultured bacterium. Its description in RNAcentral is "partial 16S ribosomal RNA". It matches the Rfam family "Bacterial small subunit ribosomal RNA", at positions 338 to 795 of the family's 1533-position model. The record is from RNAcentral.
CCUACGGGCGGCAGCAGUGGGGAAUCUUGCACAAUGGGGGAAACCCUGAUGCAGCGACGCCGCGUGAGCGAUGAAGUAUUUCGGUAUGUAAAGCUCUAUCAGCAGGGAAGAAAAUGACGGUACCUGACUAAGAAGCCCCGGCUAACUACGUGCCAGCAGCCGCGGGAAUACGUAGGGGGCAAGCGUUGUCCGGAUUUACUGGGUUUAAAGGGAGCGUAGACGGGCCGGCAAGCCAGAUGUGAAAGCCGGGGGCUCAACCCCGGGACUGCAUUUGGAACUGUAAGUCUGGAGGGUCGGAGGGGCAGGCGGAAUUCCUAGUGUAGCGGUGAAAUGCGUAGAUAUUAGGAGGAACACGAGUGGCGAAGGCGGCCUGCUGGACGUUAACUGACGUUGAGGCUCGAAAGCGUGGGGAGCAAACAGGAUUAGAUACCCCAGUAGUC